GAUGAAUGCUGGCGGCGUGCCUAAUACAUGCAAGUCGAGCGAAUGGAUUAAGAGCUUGCUCUUAUGAAGUUAGCGGCGGACGGGUGAGUAACACGUGGGUAACCUGCCCAUAAGACUGGGAUAACUCCGGGAAACCGGGGCUAAUACCGGAUAACAUUUUGAACCGCAUGGUUCGAAAUUGAAAGGCGGCUUCGGCUGUCACUUAUGGAUGGACCCGCGUCGCAUUAGCUAGUUGGUGAGGUAACGGAUCACCAAGGCAACGAUGCGUAGCCGACCUGAGAGGGUGAUCGGCCACACUGGGACUGAGACACGGCCCAGACUCCUACGGGAGGCAGCAGUAGGGAAUCUUCCGCAAUGGACGAAAGUCUGACGGAGCAACGCCGCGUGAGUGAUGAAGGCUUUCGGGUCGUAAAACUCUGUUGUUAGGGAAGAACAAGUGCUAGUUGAAUAAGCUGGCACCUUGAUGGUACCUAACCAGAAAGCCACGGCUAACUACGUGCCAGCCGCCGCGGUAA
RNAcentral lists this ribosomal RNA (515 nucleotides) under uncultured bacterium. Its description in RNAcentral is "partial 16S ribosomal RNA". It matches the Rfam family "Bacterial small subunit ribosomal RNA", at positions 28 to 523 of the family's 1533-position model. The record is from RNAcentral.